This 203-nucleotide unclassified non-coding RNA is filed under the name Hevea brasiliensis (rubber tree). The record is from RNAcentral. Lineage: Eukaryota; Viridiplantae; Streptophyta; Magnoliopsida; Malpighiales; Euphorbiaceae.
CUAGGGUUUCAAGAGCUUGAUUUCUGCCGCACCAGGCAGCCUUCCUUUGCCCCUUCGGGUGGGGGAGGGCCGUCCCCCCUCCCACCUACCUUGUGGGUUCCCUCUCCACUCUGGGUCGAAUUGUAGAUAGUUUUUUUAGUCGUUGGAGUGCAGUCUGCGGAAAAGGAAGAGGGAGUUGCUAUAGCGGCUGCGAUAACUUCGAU